RNAcentral lists this ribosomal RNA (545 nucleotides) under uncultured bacterium. Its description in RNAcentral is "bacterial SSU rRNA". It matches the Rfam family "Bacterial small subunit ribosomal RNA", at positions 777 to 1320 of the family's 1533-position model. The record is from RNAcentral.
AAUAGAUACCCCGGUAGUCCACCCCGUAAACGUUGGGAACUAGUUGUGGGGUCCAUUCCACGGAUUCCGUGACGCAGCUAACGCAUUAAGUUCCCCGCCUGGGGAGUACGGCCGCAAGGCUAAAACUCAAAGGAAUUGACGGGGACCCGCACAAGCGGCGGAGCAUGCGGAUUAAUUCGAUGCAACGCGAAGAACCUUACCAAGGCUUGACAUAUACGAGAACGGGCCAGAAAUGGUCAACUCUUUGGACACUCGUAAACAGGUGGUGCAUGGUUGUCGUCAGCUCGUGUCGUGAGAUGUUGGGUUAAGUCCCGCAACGAGCGCAACCCUCGUUCUAUGUUGCCAGCACGUAAUGGUGGGAACUCAUGGGAUACUGCCGGGGUCAACUCGGAGGAAGGUGGGGAUGACGUCAAAUCAUCAUGCCCCUUAUGUCUUGGGCUUCACGCAUGCUACAAUGGCCGGUACAAAGGGCUGCAAUACCGCGAGGUGGAGCGAAUCCCAAAAAGCCGGUCCCAGUUCGGAUUGAGGUCUGCAACUCGACCUCA